AACGAACGCUGGCGGCAGGCCUAACACAUGCAAGUCGAACGCCCUAGCAAUAGGGAGUGGCAGACGGGUGAGUAACACGUGGGAACGUGCCCUUCGGUUCGGAAUAACUCAGGGAAGCUUGAGCUAAUACCGGAUACGUGCGAGAGCAGAAAGAUUUAUCGCCGAAGGAUUGGCCCGCGUCCGAUUAGCUAGUUGGUGAGGUAAUGGCUCACCAAGGCGACGAUCGGUAGCUGGUCUGAGAGGAUGACCAGCCACACUGGGACUGAGACACGGCCCAGACUCCUACGGGAGGCAGCAGUGGGGAAUAUUGGACAAUGGGCGCAAGCCUGAUCCAGCCAUGCCGCGUGAGUGAUGAAGGCCCUAGGGUUGUAAAGCUCUUUCGCCAGGGACGAUAAUGACGGUACCUGGAUAAGAAGCCCCGGCUAACUUCGUGCCAGCCGCCGCAGUAA
RNAcentral lists this ribosomal RNA (449 nucleotides) under uncultured bacterium. RNAcentral's name for it is "partial 16S ribosomal RNA". It matches the Rfam family "Bacterial small subunit ribosomal RNA", at positions 29 to 523 of the family's 1533-position model. The record is from RNAcentral.